RNAcentral lists this ribosomal RNA (468 nucleotides) under uncultured bacterium. RNAcentral's name for it is "partial 16S ribosomal RNA". It matches the Rfam family "Bacterial small subunit ribosomal RNA", at positions 28 to 507 of the family's 1533-position model. The record is from RNAcentral.
GACGAACGCUGGCGGCGUGCUUAACACAUGCAAGUCGAACGGAAAGGCCCUGCUUUUGUGGGGUGCUCGAGUGGCGAACGGGUGAGUAACACGUGUGUAACCUGCCCUUGACUUUGGGAUAACUUCAGGAAACUGGGGCUAAUACCGGAUAGGAGCUCCUGCUGCAUGGGGGGGGGUGGAAAGUUUCGGCGGUUGGGGAUGGACUCGCGGCUUAUGAGCUUGUUGGUGGGGUAGUGGCUUACCAAGGCUUUGACGGGUAGCCGGCCUGAGAGGGUGGCCGGCGUCAUGGGGACUGAGAUAGGGCCCAGACUCCUACGGGAGGCAGAGGGGGGAAAUAUGGCACAGUGGGCGGAAGCGUGAUGCGGAGACGCCGCGUGCGGGAUGCCGGCCUUCGGGUUGUAAACCGCUUUCGCCUGUGACGAAGCGUGAGUGACGGUAAUGGGUAAAGAAGCACCGGCUAACUACGUG